GACAGAGGCCUCAAGCGUUAGGCGGAAUCACUGGGCUUAAAGCGUGUGUAGGCGGAUGCCUAAGUACCUUGUGAAAUCCCACGGCUCAACCGUGGAACUGCUGGGUAUACUGGGCGUCUUGGGCCAUUCAGGGGCGACUGGAACAAGCGGUGGAGCGGUGAAAUGCGUAGAUAUCAGGAAGAACACCCGUGGCGAAGGCGGCUCUCUGGAACGCAACUGACGCUGAGACGCGAAAGCGUGGGGAGCAAACAGG
Molecule: ribosomal RNA, 253 nt
Filed under: uncultured bacterium
Lineage: Bacteria
Description: partial 16S ribosomal RNA
Rfam family: Bacterial small subunit ribosomal RNA
Source: RNAcentral